Molecule: long non-coding RNA, 2138 nt
Filed under: Rattus norvegicus (Norway rat)
Lineage: Eukaryota; Metazoa; Chordata; Mammalia; Rodentia; Muridae
Description: long non-coding RNA NONRATT010768
Source: RNAcentral
UGAAUGGAAUUGCAUACUCUCUACAGUUCCGGGACUCUCUCUUACACUAACUAGUGAGGGAAGAAGGAGGGGAGAAGGGGUGAAAGAAGUAGAGUAGAAAUAUAACCAAGGUGGGUGAGAGGCUUCCUGUGGGCAGCCUACACGUCUACAGCAGCCUUGAGCCAAAGCCUACAGAUGCCAGCCUACUGGACUCUGCGCAGUUGCUCUGUGCCCAUUUUGCCAAAGCUGUCCACACGUUCUUUCCUGAGGAUGAUAGUUCCCUUCAGCUGUCCUCAGUCCUCAUGUUCACCACAAUAUUUAUCUUCACUAUUCUUUUCUGUUGGCAAAAAUAUUUUUUGCAUCUUUCCAGAGAGGCAAAGAGUUCCAAAGAUGUUGUUUUCUUUGAGACGUAAGCACGUGGCUUAAGUGUGUAAGAAGGUUAAUACUAUCUACAGUCAAGGGGAAGGGUAUAACUAGUACUAAAGCCAAUGUGAGAGUUCAUGGGAUAUGCUGUUUGUAUGAAUUUACCUCCAGGGAGAUGAAACAUACAAACCAAGCUGAAUUGUAACUAGAGCAGGUGGACAUCACAUGUUUUAGAGACACCCACAAGGUUUCUUGUACCUCAAACCAUCAAACCAUAUAUCAUCUUUGAGAUAUAUAUAUAUACAUAUAUAUAUGUAUAUAUAUAUAUGUAUCCUUCUGAGUUUCAAGAAUAAGUACAAUUUAGUUUGAUGGUUUCCUUAAACUUUACGUGAGCUUUGAGAGCCCGUGGUGAAUAGAAAAAUCCAGCAAAGUUAAAAAGAAAAAAAGAGUGUUCAAGGUGAAAAAAGGGUUCUGGUGUUGCAGGUCUGGUUGGUAGUUUUUACCCCAGAAUGACAGUGAAGCCAGUAAGACACCGUGAUUGUUUUAUAAGGACACAGCACAACUGCCUUCUCAUGACCUUUUCUUAAAUGCAUAUAUACUGUAUUUAAAAUUAAAGUAUAGAUACCACUUUACCAAAGAUACACAUUACUAAUUCUAAGCAAAAAAAAAAGAUAUUUAAAAAAACCCCAAACUCAUCAUAAUUUAAGAAAAAGUCAUCAAAAUAUAGUUCUGUUACAGCUUUUGCAAUUCCGCUGGAGAAUGCAUUCUCAACCCCGAUGUUCUAAAGUUUCUGUUCAAACGGUGCCAGUAAAUGUUUAUAUGAAGGGAAUGCCUGCUCUUUUCCUCCAUAGCAGCUGUAAUUCAUGCAGCCUUUUGUACUUUCCCUUAGUUCCCACCUAACACAGCAUUGGCUUUAUUUAUCUCUAGAAAGAAGGCAUGGUCAAAAAAAAUUAAUAAAGGAAAUUAUAAUGACAUUUGGCCUCUACUUUUGUCUUAGCCAUUAAAAUGUUUUUAGUAUUUUUGUUAAAUAUUUGCAAAGGGAAGCCUUUUCUACAGAGAAUAAUUAAUUUCAAGAAAAACUAUCUUGAGUUUUAAGGAAUAAACCUCUCCAGAAAAGGAGACAGUCAAUUUUAUAAAAUGUCGUAACUCUCCAACAUUUGGGGUAGUGACUCCUUUUUUGUUAGGACAUUUGAGACUAGCAAGCAGCCGUUGUUUCUAAAGAACCCCACCUCCGUGUCAACGCCUGUCUCUUUCGCUUCAUUCUCAAACAGCUAAAAACACGCUAAACCUGUAAAUAUUUUGUUGCUUGAGUAAGCAUCUUCUGGGAGCUUUGUAUCUAUGGUAUAUAAUCAUAGAAUUUUAUAUUUUCAUAUAAAGCUAAUUUUUUUCUAGUUUCAAUGAUGUCACGGUUCUUUUUGUUGUUUUUCCCCCCCGUGGUGGAUAUGUGAACUUCUGUGUAUUGAAGUAGAACCAUCUUUGCAUUCCAAAAGACUCCGUGUGUUCUUCCUUUGAGGUAGUGAUUGUGAAUGUCGGGCAUUCUUUUUAAUUCCAUUGACCAUUAGCGCAAUAGCAAUUAGACAUGACUAGUCGCUGAAUACAUUUAUCACAUUGACCCAUUUUGGAAAAAGUGAUUUUUUUUUUUUAAAGAUUUGUUCCGUGGGAGGGGAGGGGUUUUAUAACCUGAAAUUUUUUCCCUUUUUCCUUCUGUUUAAAACUAUAUCAAAUCAUUCUAUUAUAGUGUUAUUUAAUAUGUAAAUUGUAUUGCUAUACAUAAAAUAAAGUAUGGUUUUUGAUGU